GAUGAACGCUGGCGGCGUGCCUAAUACAUGCAAGUCGAGCGAACAGACGAGGAGCUUGCUCCUUCGACGUUAGCGGCGGACGGGUGAGUAACACGUAGGUAACCUACCUAUAAGACUGGGAUAACUUCGGGAAACCGGAGCUAAUACCGGAUAAUAUUUCGAACCGCAUGGUUCGAUAGUGAAAGAUGGCUUUGCUAUCACUUAUAGAUGGACCUGCGCCGUAUUAGCUAGUUGGUAAGGUAACGGCUUACCAAGGCAACGAUACGUAGCCGACCUGAGAGGGUGAUCGGCCACACUGGAACUGAGACACGGUCCAGACUCCUACGGGAGGCAGCAGUAGGGAAUCUUCCGCAAUGGGCGAAAGCCUGACGGAGCAACGCCGCGUGAGUGAUGAAGGUCUUCGGAUCGUAAAACCCUGUUAUUAGGGAAGAACAAACGUGUAAGUAACUGUGCACGUCUUGACGGUACCUAAUCAGAAAGCCACGGCUAACUACGUG
RNAcentral lists this ribosomal RNA (497 nucleotides) under uncultured bacterium. RNAcentral's name for it is "partial 16S ribosomal RNA". It matches the Rfam family "Bacterial small subunit ribosomal RNA", at positions 28 to 507 of the family's 1533-position model. The record is from RNAcentral.